Molecule: ribosomal RNA, 301 nt
Filed under: uncultured bacterium
Lineage: Bacteria
Description: partial 16S ribosomal RNA
Rfam family: Bacterial small subunit ribosomal RNA
Source: RNAcentral
CAGCCGCCGCGGUAAUACGUAGGUGGCAAGCGUUGUCCGGAAUGAUUGGGCGUAAAGCACGCGUAGGUGGUUUUUUAAGUCUGAUGUGAAAGCCCACGGCUCAACCAUGGAGGGUCAUUGGAAACUGGAAAACUUGAGUGCAGAAGAGGAAAGUGGAAUUCCAUGUGUAGCGGUGAAAUGCGCAGAGAUAUGGAGGAACACCAGUGGCGAAGGCGACUUUCUGGUCUGUAACUGACGCUGAGGAGCGAAAGCGUGGGGAGCAAACAGGAUUAGAUACCCCGGUAGUCCCUGUCUCUUAUAC